GAUACUACUAAAAAUCAAAGUUUAAUUGUCUAACUGCCAGAUUACAGCAUCAUUGGAAAUUGCAGCGUGGCCGGUUUUCUCAUAUGAAAGCUAAGCCUUUGAAUCUGGAAGGAGGAACCUCAAACUUAAAAUGGGACACAAAGUUGGACUGAACCUGACAACCUUGAACCCCUGAGUUUUCCCUGACAGUGGAGGGAGCUUGUCUUUCUCUGAGGAGCCUGGAGCAGCCUUGGGUGAGGAAUGGGAUCCAGCAACUGUUGAUCAAAGGAGGAGGCAACCAUGGAGGAGGACGCAGAUGAGACAUUAGCACUGAGAAAAGAACCUGAGGCCUUGUCACGUUUGCAUACUAAAUGGAACCACACAGUGCACAGAACUGUGAACUUGGAGGCAGGUGGCUUAGACUCUAAUUCAGUUUUUUACCUGUUCAUCCCAUGAACUAGAAAAAAACUCUCUUUCAGCUUCCGCAUAUCCACCCAAACAAUAGUUCUCACUCUGAAGCUCUAGAAGACAUGGAUCUUGCUAUAUACACCAGGCUGUCCUCAGACUCACAGAGAUCCAGCCACCCGUCUCUGCUCCCAAGUUCCGGGAUUUAAAGUGUGUGCUGCUAUACCGAACCCAUAUGAUUCUUUUUCCAGUAUUUAUUGUAUUUAUAUGUGCAAGUCUAUGUGAGGUUUUGUGCGCCCGUGGGUGUUCACGAAUGCAUGCACGCAUGUGAGUGUGCAGACCGAAGCCAGAAAAGGGCAUCUGAUUCCUUGGAGCUGAAGUGAUGUGUGUUUGUGGAAUAGCCAGGUUGCUAUGGGCAUUCUGGAAUCCAAACUCUGGCCCUUAACACUGAGCGCAAGCACUCUUAGCCACUCAUCUCCAGCUGUGAUAUGUUACUCUGAACACAGAAAAUAUGCAAAAGGCACAUUCACAAAUAAAGGAAUGUGUUGGGACUUGUAUUUGGAAGUCCAUUCCAUCUUGCCACAAGUUCAGAGAGCU
This is a non-coding RNA of Cricetulus griseus (Chinese hamster), 981 nucleotides long. NCBI's taxonomy places the organism in Eukaryota, Metazoa, Chordata, Mammalia, Rodentia, Cricetidae. The record is from RefSeq and is a predicted model, not a curated record.